AGGGAAUGUGAGUGUGAUAAAGGAGAAUUUCUGAGCCUGCUGGAUGCAGAGCUCCAGCCUCCUCCUGCCUCCAGAAUAUUCGGUGGCUCCAGAACCAGCUGGAUGGUCACACUGCUCUGUAUUCCUCCACCCACCACAUGGAGAAACACACAAAGACAAGCUUUAAGACCCUCAGACGAGCUGGAUUAAAUCAUUGGUGGCCACAGAACAUUCCUCAGGCUGCAUGAGGAGACUCUCAUCGUUCCUAGGGCUGCCUCAGCUGCCAGCAGUGACAGUGGUGGCUGUGUUGUCCCAGUACUGCCCACAGUGCAGUCCAGCCUGCAAGGAUGGGCACCGUGCAGUCAACCUGCAGCAAGAAAAAGAUGGGAAGUUUGCUCCAAGCAGCAGCCUGAUUGCUGAGAUCUUGCAGAUCGCUGGCUCCUUGGAAACAAGAACCAGACCUGACAGCCCUGGACUUUAUUGAAGGCAUGAGUAUUCUGGUCAAGUACAAGCAAGAAAGCACAGCAGACGCUAAAAUUCAGGUACCUGCUGCCAUCCCCCAGCUGUGUGGAAGCUGCCUGCACUGUGAC
Molecule: long non-coding RNA, 569 nt
Filed under: Geospiza fortis (medium ground-finch)
Lineage: Eukaryota; Metazoa; Chordata; Aves; Passeriformes; Thraupidae
Description: lncRNA (ENSGFOG00000013748.1)
Source: RNAcentral